Camponotus floridanus (Florida carpenter ant) is the source of this 730-nucleotide long non-coding RNA. RefSeq lists it as uncharacterized. The record is from RefSeq and is a predicted model, not a curated record. The transcript has 3 exons. Lineage: Eukaryota; Metazoa; Arthropoda; Insecta; Hymenoptera; Formicidae.
AUUAAAAUUUUUUAAAGUACAUUGUCAAGGAAAGAUUGCGAUUGACUUUCAUCAAUUUUGAUCUCCUUUCUUGUGGUGAAUCUGUAUUAAAAUUAAGUUGAUUUGUAUUCGAGCUUUUCGUCCAAUACGCCUUGUAAUAUUUUUUUAUACUUGAAAUUUUCAUGUUUGUUAUAAGCCCUAAAUAAAGACACAUGUUUAAUCAGUGCCGCUAGCGCAACAGAAAAGUUUUAUCUUGAGAACGGAGUUAGAAGUUACUGCAUUGGCCAUUACUACGGUAUGGCGCUGAAAUCAGUAAGAAAGUGCCGGUCUAGUCUUUACCCGGGUCAUUGGCUAUCUGUCUAUUAAUCUGUGGUCCUAUGUUAAGUCAAUUACUCGAAUAUAUCGAGGCGUUGAAGCCUCCUUUUCUGCGAUGCUGGUGCGUUGCGAUAUACUCGUGUGUUAAGAAAGAAGUAAAAAGAAUCGGGUGGCACCCGAUUGACCACGUCGUCAAUUGGCCAAUUCAAAAUAGGACUCUCUGAUUGGUUAAUCAUUGCUGGUUACCCUAGGCACAGGUCGAUAUAAUUGGCUGUGGUCAAUCGCAACGUGGUCAAACGGGACGCUCCCAAAGAAUCUCGUGAAGAGGAUAGAAAAAGGAGAAAGAGAAAAAGAAGAAAAGUCGAAUAGAGAAAGAACGGCGAAAAAGCUAUAAAAAGUGACAAAAUAAAUAGUAGAAAAAGAGGAAAAGAAGAAG